UAUCGUGAUCGGGUAUAUUCCCUAUAUACCUCGCAAGAACGGAUUGUCGGAAGAGGGUACUCACAAAGGGCGAUCGAGAUGUUUGGAAGAAAUAUAUCCAUUGGUGAUGUCAAAUCAAAAGCGGAAUGAAAUGUCAGAAUAUAGGGUACCCACAAAAAGAAAGUGAUGGUCUUAUAAUUAAGUAAAUUGUCUUCUCUUCUACUUCUGGCCAAAGCGGUGAUUUUGAUUCCAUUUGUUGUGGUUGUAGAUGAAAAAAAUGUAUAGUUAUUUUAUCAUUUUUCUUCGGGGAUUUUAAUAUGAAAUCCGAUCGACGAAUUGAAGAACCGAAAAACAAAAAAGAAGUGGAAGGGCGAAGAAGCUGAAAAGAAGAAAGUUUAACUAAAAAUCUCGUGCUAGGAGAAAUAAUCGAAAACAAUGCCGUACAGCCAAAUGGUGAAGAUUUCAAAUUACUGUGUACUAGCUGAUGGUACCUACAUGGGAAAUAUCUACCCUAUUUCUACGGAAAUCUCGAUGAUUGGUACCCCUUCAUAAGACUAUAUGACGAUACGGACAAAGAAUGCAGAUACAGCGACGUGUAUCGUAACUCAGUGAUACGAGGAUUGUGAAUAAGUUAGGAAUUUCAGGAAGAAAGGUAACUUAUAGAUAUGAAGGUAUUGAAAAAGGAACGAUAAUGGUAGGCACAACCGAAUCGCAAGAAUUAUCACUGUCAAUUGGACGAAGUGCUGACAAAUGGUUAAUUUAGAAGAAAAACUACCAUGAAUAAGUUUCAGAAGAGGAAAAUCGAAACGAUGGGAUUUCUGUAAAUAGGAUAUUUAAAAAAGGUAUCUUCUGAUGAAAUGAAGAUAGGAAGAAACUUUGGAACGGUGAAUCCGAAAAAAUCGAAACUGGACGCCAAUGUUUCUGCGGAAGAUUUUUUCCAAACAAAAAAUAGAACAAGGCCGAUCUAUUUAAAGAACCGAAGUAUAAUCCGUAUAUGUAAUGCGUUUCCCGAAAGUUGAUAAAACAGUUCAAGGGGCGCCCCAUCGACGAUGAAUUAAGAGCCUGGGGAAUUACCUCCUUUUGCGCAAUCUCUAUAACUUUGAUAUCGUAUUACCGGUUUGUCCAAAAUAUAUACGUACACUAUUGGAUAAGAAGCUACUUGUAAUAAAUCCUCAUUUUUCGAACAAAGCCGCAAUUGUUUAUAAGAACUUCCAGAUAUAAUGUCAUUAGUGAAACUUCGAAAUCCGAAUCAGAAUCACUUUUUUUUGGGUAACGUUAUUUUGGCAUGCAAAGUGUUAUUCUACUUUUGGGAAAUUUGGGCGAUCACUCCCAACGCAUAGUUCAUGGGAGACUUAACAUUUUUGUCUCGCUUUUUGUUAAUUAGAGUACCACUUGGCAAAAUCGUCUUUGUUACUAUUCAUUUCGACUAUGAAGACCAUUAUCAAAAUCAGAUAAUCUACACUUUUCCCACACAUUAUAUCGGUACAUAUAGGAUUUGGAACUGUAGCGAGGGCAAAAUUUUGUUGCUAAAUUGACAAACAUUUUUUAUACGGGUUUUGGCCGAAAAAUUGAGGCGUGUUACAUCUUUGAUCUCGAAUUCCGGCAGCCAAAUACUAUCAUACCAGUUAAACCAAACAAACAUGGAAAUCAUUUUUAGAUACUAAUCCCAGUAUAGAAAAAAACGGCAGGUCAGUUUAACGAUAAAUAUUUGUUGUUUGCGUUUAAUUUUAAUAAGUCAAUGUACAAAGUAUCCAGCAGUGGUCCAAAGUACAAUGCCAUAUCUUGGCAAAAUACUAUUUUUUAUCCAUAUUUUCGAGCGGCGUAAAUCAACAGGAAAAAAUCGCCAAGUUAUACAGGGUGGUCGCGCUUGGUGGACGUCCUGGAUUUAAAUUUUGUUGAUGCAUUCGUAAAAAUGGACAGAAGUUCGGAAGUUCGAUAAAUCACGGUAUAUAUAAAUUAUACAAGGUGUUAAUGAUUUGGACAACCUAGCAUCAACAAUAAUUUUUGCAAGCAGAAAAAUUGUAUUUGAUCUUAAUUAGAGAUAAUUAAUUUCGAAAGAGGCGAAAGAAAAAUUAGACACCUACCUUCGUUCUUCAAAUGCAGUAAUCAAUACUACACUGUGUCACCACAAAUAUGAUGAUAAUCACGCACCUACAACUGUGUGUUGUUAAUUAUUCGUUGUGUAACAAAUUUGCUUUUGAAUUUUAAUUCCGUUUUAUUUCAAGGCGUCCGGACGCGCUAUCGACCUGUUUCUAUGUGUAUUUAUAGUGAAAAGCAGGGGCGGAUCGACGAUAAAAAGCGGAUGUGGUACCUAAUACCUAGCUUUCCAUACUAUUUUUAAAGACUAUUCCCGCAUAUGAUACUUAUACCUAAUCAAGUGUAUCUAUAAGAGUAAUUAAAUAUUCAAUGUUGCUGUUUGUUGUUGAUGGUAGAAAAACUUGUGUAGCAAAUUUUCUAGAGCAACAUCAAGGCGUGAUCAAAUCGAUUAAUCACUGACGAUAAGGAAUGAGAGUGGAUACGACGCAUUCUUUCCAUGAAAUAUGAUAUUCUGAAGCUUUUUGUUUGCUAUAUAACUCAAUUUUGCUAUGCUUAAUAUCAGUUCCAACAUUGAUACCAAAAUGAUAAACAGUGAAAUUCGCGCUCGUGUUAUAAAUUUUGAAUACAAGACCUGUGUAAAUCCUUCAACGUUAUACUGGUACCACAUUUUAGCCAAUGAAUUCACAAUCUGAGCAAGAGCAUACCGCAAAGUUGAUACAAAAGUGUGGUACUUCGAGCUUUGAUGUGGCCACCCGUGCGCGUGUGUCGGAGCGAGGGUCGAGGGUAUACUCUAUGGUGCGAUGCUAUGGUCUGAGCGAUGGUCGACGCUCUGUUGUGUCCGUAUACCCUACGCGUAUACAGAAAAAGGUUCAUUCUCCUUGAAAAUAUUUGUUUAAUUUUUCUGUUAUAUUUAACAAACCAACAGCAAUAAUUUCUUUACAAGAAAGUAACAUCAACAUGUUUAGUAGGAGCAGGCAUUUUCAUUUGUAACUACUCGUUACACGACUUGCUAUUGUAGGAGAAUAUUCAUUUUCAGUAUAUUUUUCUUAAUUUUUUUCAUUUUUCCGAAAAGUUUUUCAAAGAGGAAAAAAUCAACAGGAUUUGUAACGGGUGAUCGCUUUAGAAUUUAUAAAAAAUGUAUUUUUUGAAUUUGUAGUUGUUCAACAUAGGAAAAUGUAGACAUGUACCGCUUGAUAGCGAACGUAAAUGAUAGUAUAUCUGGUGAUAACCAGCGAUAUCAUGAAGCGUAUUGCGAAAAGCCAGCGUGGUUGAUACGAUCUCUUCGAACCUAAAAGUUUCGAUCCGUGACAAAAAUGCAGGUUUCCAAUUCGUUAAAAAAGGUACGCCAGUCGAAAUUAUUUCGUUCAGAAAAUAGGCCCCGUUUCACAGGUUCUAACGGGCGAGAUUUAAAUAGCAAGAGAAGUGAGUGAGAGAUAUUUCUAAGCUGGAUUGCGCGAACGGUCACGUACCCUGUUUGUGCGUGAAUUUUUCUAUCGUUGAAAAUUCGUUCAACGUUGAAUUUCGCUAACCACCUACCAUUUUAAGCGCACGGAAAUUGAAUUUUCAGUAAAUUUAGAAAAGCAAGCGCGCACCAUUUUGUUUGAGGUCAAAAUUCCAGAACCAAAUCGUGGACGUACCUAUCCAAAUAGUAGUGAAAAAUUAGCUACAUUUGGCAUUCGGCAAAAAAUUUAAAGACAAUUAAUCGGUAACCGCAAUAAAUCCUAGUUAAUUAAAUAAUAAAUAGGGCAACAUAAUAUUAACACAGUGUAAAAUCAGUAUAAUCACGAUCUCGAGUAUUACUUUCUCGAAUUUGAAGCCAGUUUGCUCGGAUUCGUGAUAGGUAUAGACAUUUUUGUUUUGUGUCACGGACUCACCUUUACAUACAGAAGCAAUCUAUUUCCAUAUUCAAUUUUCCAAGGAGAAAUAAGGUCAUUUGUUACCAAAAGAUAAUAGUACCCACGUCAAUAACUGUAAAUUAUCUUAAAUUUUUGAUUUGUAUAAAGUAGUGGUCGAUUAUUUCUAAGAAUUUCCAUAUUAAUUUUGGUUUGAUGUAAUUUUGAUAUUCCUAAAGGAAUUGACCCAUGAAAAUU
Long non-coding RNA from Photinus pyralis (common eastern firefly), 4106 nucleotides. RefSeq lists it as uncharacterized. The transcript has 4 exons. The record is from RefSeq and is a predicted model, not a curated record. NCBI's taxonomy places the organism in Eukaryota, Metazoa, Arthropoda, Insecta, Coleoptera, Lampyridae.